RNAcentral lists this long non-coding RNA (290 nucleotides) under Nicotiana benthamiana. RNAcentral's name for it is "long non-coding RNA (NBEN_LNC001673)". Lineage: Eukaryota; Viridiplantae; Streptophyta; Magnoliopsida; Solanales; Solanaceae. The record is from RNAcentral.
AACCAACAACCGUCGCAAUUCAGUACCAUCCCCUAUGCACAUGACCAGGCACAGGGACCAACUUCGACAGAAGUGCAGGAAAAACGUUUACAGAUGAAACAACCAAGGAAUGACCAGAAGUAGCAUCAAUAACUUUAAUAAAGAAAAAAGGGAUCUCCAAAAGUCAUAGCAGUUCUAAAUAUAGUUUACAGUCAACUAACUAUACAACAACAACUACUCACUAAAAUCCCACAAGUGGGGUCCGAGAGUGUAUGGCUGUACGCAGACGUUACCCUACCAGGAGGGGUAGA